GGGUGAUUUUGUAAGUUGGUAGAGCAGUGGACUUUUAAUCCAUUGGUCGAUGGUUCAAGUCCAUCAUGACCCACCA
RNAcentral lists this transfer RNA (76 nucleotides) under Pseudoalteromonas sp. S3776. RNAcentral's name for it is "tRNA-Lys". It matches the Rfam family "tRNA". Rfam says of the family: Transfer RNA (tRNA) molecules are approximately 80 nucleotides in length. The record is from RNAcentral. Lineage: Bacteria; Pseudomonadati; Pseudomonadota; Gammaproteobacteria; Alteromonadales; Pseudoalteromonadaceae.